RNAcentral lists this ribosomal RNA (495 nucleotides) under uncultured bacterium. RNAcentral's name for it is "bacterial SSU rRNA". It matches the Rfam family "Bacterial small subunit ribosomal RNA", at positions 8 to 501 of the family's 1533-position model. The record is from RNAcentral.
AGAGUUUGAUCCUGGCUCAGAUUGAACGCUGGCGGCAGGCUUAACACAUGCAAGUCGAGCGGUAACAGAUCUAGCUUGCUAGAUGCUGACGAGCGGCGGACGGGUGAGUAACGCGUAGAAAACUGCCCAGUAGUGGGGGAUAGCCCAGAGAAAUUUGGAUUAAUACCGCAUACGCCCUACGGGGGAAAGGGGGCUUCGGCUCUCGCUAUUGGAUGUGUCUGCGUGGGAUUAGCUAGUUGGUGAGGUAAGGGCUCACCAAGGCGACGAUCCCUAGCUGGUCUGAGAGGAUGAUCAGCCACACUGGGACUGAGACACGGCCCAGACUCCUACGGGAGGCAGCAGUGGGGAAUAUUGCACAAUGGGCGCAAGCCUGAUGCAGCCAUGCCGCGUGUGUGAAGAAGGCUUUCGGGUUGUAAAGCACUUUCAGUGAGGAGGAAAAGUUAACGGUUAAUACCCGUUAGCCCUGACGUUACUCACAGAAGAAGCACCGCUAAC